AACGAACGCUGGCGGCAUGCCUAACACAUGCAAGUCGAACGAGAUCUUCGGGUCUAGUGGCGCACGGGCGCGUAACGCGUGGGAAUCUGCCCUUUGGUUCGGAAUAACAGUUGGAAACGACUGCUAAUACCGGAUGAUGACGAAAGUCCAAAGAUUUAUCGCCAGAGGAUGAGCCCGCGUAGGAUUAGCUAGUUGGUGUGGUAAAGGCGCACCAAGGCGACGAUCCUUAGCUGGUCUGAGAGGAUGAUCAGCCACACUGGGACUGAGACACGGCCCAGACUCCUACGGGAGGCAGCAGUGGGGAAUAUUGGACAACGGGCGAAAGCCUGAUCCAGCAAUGCCGCGUGAGUGAUGAAGGCCUUAGGGUUGUAAAGCUCUUUUACCCGGGAUGAUAAUGACAGUACCGGGAGAAUAAGCUCCGGCUAACUCCGUGCCAGCCGCCGCGGUAA
This 449-nucleotide ribosomal RNA is filed under the name uncultured bacterium. RNAcentral's name for it is "partial 16S ribosomal RNA". It matches the Rfam family "Bacterial small subunit ribosomal RNA", at positions 29 to 523 of the family's 1533-position model. The record is from RNAcentral.